CCUACGGGUGGCAGCAGUGGGGAAUAUUGGACAAUGGGCGAAAGCCUGAUCCAGCCAUGCCGCGUGUGUGAAGAAGGCCUUCGGGUUGUAAAGCACUUUCAGUGGGGAAGAAAGCCUUGGGGCUAAUACCCUCGAGGAAGGACAUCACCCACAGAAGAAGCACCGGCUAACUCCGUGCCAGCAGCCGCGGUAAUACGGAGGGUGCGAGCGUUAAUCGGAAUUACUGGGCGUAAAGCGCGCGUAGGCGGUCUGAUAAGCCGGUUGUGAAAGCCCCGGGCUCAACCUGGGAACGGCAUCCGGAACUGUCAGGCUAGAGUGAAGGAGAGGAAGGUAGAAUACCGGGUGUAGCGGUGAAAUGCGUAGGGAUCGGGAGGAAUACCAGUGGCGAAGGCGGCCUUAUGGACUGACACUGACGCUGAGGUGCGAAAGCGUGGGUAGCAAACAGGAUUAGAUACCCUGGUAGUC
RNAcentral lists this ribosomal RNA (465 nucleotides) under Vreelandella stevensii. Its description in RNAcentral is "partial 16S ribosomal RNA". It matches the Rfam family "Bacterial small subunit ribosomal RNA", at positions 338 to 795 of the family's 1533-position model. The record is from RNAcentral. Lineage: Bacteria; Pseudomonadati; Pseudomonadota; Gammaproteobacteria; Oceanospirillales; Halomonadaceae.